Molecule: long non-coding RNA, 2928 nt
Organism: Pangasianodon hypophthalmus (striped catfish)
Lineage: Eukaryota; Metazoa; Chordata; Actinopteri; Siluriformes; Pangasiidae
Exons: 4
Source: RefSeq, a predicted model, not a curated record
UUUAAUUUAAUACAAAUAAAUUUAAAUAAUUAGAAGUGUAGAAUUUUGCAGUAGUCAUGGUGAUGAUGAUGAUGUCACAGAGAUGGUACAUAUUUUUUCAUUAGGACUGCUGAAGGUUUGUUUAUUUCUACUUUGGGAGCUUCAUCAUUCACACUCACAGAUUCAGGUGAGAGAGAUUUCUCUAUGUGUUAAAACUGACAGGUGUGUAAACUCCACACACACUGAGCACACCACAGAUUAGAAAUACAUUUAGAAGAUGAGAGUAUGACUGCGUUGUACAACUCAAUACUAAUAUUUCAUUACAGAGAGUGAAAAACAGGGUUUGAAGUAGAGACAGCACCGAUCCCAUACCCAGUAUCAGUACCGGGCCGAUACCAGCAAAAACAAAAUGAUGGAUAUCGGAUAUCAGAAAAAACGUAUUGUAUAUCAGAUCCUGUAACAAAUGGAGAAGUUUGGAAUUGCAUUUUGGAAAUAAAGACACUCAACUGCUUUUUCCUUUGUUAGGAUCAUUUUUUGUUAUGUAUACAUUAUCCUAUUUAUUAUUUUCUUUCCAGUGCAGUUUUUUUGGUCAGUCAUUCACAUUUAUUUAUUAUAGAGGCAGGGGAAAGGGGAAACAGCUGAGAAAUUCUCACUUUUAUAAAAAUGAAUAGUGAAUAUAAAAAUAAAACUGCCUUUCAAUUCAUUCAGAAUAACUUAACCAUACGCAUAACCACAUAAAGUGAUAUAUUUCAAAAAGCUUAGUGAAGACAAUGGCCGUGCUCGUGAUGAGAAACUGUUCUGAGGUUUUUAUACCUCAUCCUGAAGGAGGAGCUGAUCAUCAUUCAUGCUGGACAGGGGAGUCCGACGUCCUGCAAUGUGAUGAUAAAUACGUGUCUGAUGGGAAGAAUUGAACAUUUCCUGGCCCACUGAUGAGUGAUACGAUGCAGAAGGAUGAGCUGAUGGGAAUUAUCCAGGGGAAAUGUCAGGAAUGUUUGCUACACUUGGCUGAACCUGAGCAACACUAUUCCUAUUUCUUCUGGUUAGUUAUGGAUCGCUUCUGUACUUGAAAUGGAAUAAGUGCUGGAGUUCAUUAUGCUGUAAAUAAACAAAUCAUCUUCUCAAUUCAAUAAAUUUAAGUAUCUGAUUACAAUAGCACUCAACCUUUUACUGCUCCAUUCUGCUAGUGACUAAAUCAUACUUUCCUGAACAAGCUGCUCUGUUGUGUUGACUAAUGAAGUAAAAUUGGCCAAACUAAUGAGAACUUGUUCAGCCAAAACUACCUCAGAACUCUCAUGAGCAUAGAUAAGAAACAUACGAUGAUCAGAUGAAGCUAAAAUUGAGUUCACAAAAAAGAGAAGUGCUGUGGAAGCGGGGGCGUGGUCGAGCACCAGUUGGUGAAUGGAGGGCGGAGCCGGAGAAGGUGAGCGGUAAGGAAUGCACACCUGCGGGGAAUUCUACUAACGAGUGUUCUGUGCUGCAGUGAGCUGGGCCUAAAAAUGAGAGAGAGAGAGAGAUCCAGCACAGAGCUGCGUGUGCAUGCUUAACUGUGUGUGUAAAUAAAGUAAACCGCUGAAAGUGCAAGUGGAGAAUAAAACGCCUUGGAGUUGUUCCCAAGCCUGCCUUCUGCUUCCUCAUUUCCGCCCGAACACGCCACGUGGACACUUUGCAACUGCUGCUGGAGGAUGUGGCUGGUGAUCUGGGCCCCCUGCUGGGAACACCCAGACAAAGCUGAAGUACCACAUGACCUCUGUGCUGCAUUUAGCAGUUUGUAUGUUCAAAUAGAUUUAAUAAAUCAACGUAGAUGCACAGGAACUCUAUUCAGUUAUGAUAUUGAUAUUAAUAAAACUCAGCAGCCUCUUAGUGGGGGUCAUUUAAAUCCAAUGUAGCUUCCAGAGUCUUCAGGGAUGUCUGCCCAGAUCCUGCUCGCUACAGAGGAUGGAAGUGCUACCCUUCCCUUCCCUUCCCAGGUAGCCCCAACACCAGCUCAUAAACAUGCAGUAAGCUGUAUGACCAUAUUGCCUCAGGAGCAGCCUUUCACACCUCUGUGGAUUCUCCUUGAUGUCUCGUCCCAUAAUACUGUAGCAUAGACACAUUUUCCAGUUGGAGUAGCCAGAUGUUGAGUCCUGCUCAGGAACAUCUGUCAAAUUGCACUACUUCAAGGACCCUGCCCAACCUUCAACUCUCAAAUCCUGCUAGCAUAGAAGCACCUGGAACACGGUGCUGAGUAAAGUGUUUGCCCUAACACCAUGUUGUAGACAAAAGUAUAAGUACAAAUAUGACAAGAACGAUUUAGCUAUGAGCCACAUUAAACAACAUUGGAAAUCAAAUGGUGGCUCUCAAGACAUGUCCUGGGGACUUUGUUAAAUUUGUUAAAAACCCAUGUAGACAAUACUGAUUUUAGAACUCUUAGCAGCAGCCUAUUUUUCUCCUCAUGUGUAAGUCAUGUGAAGGAUUGUGGUUUAUGAAGUGCUGUGAGGCCCUGUGAGGUGCACUGUAACAAGGGUUUAUUAAAGUGCUCUAGAAAUAAAAAAAAUAAUAAUAACUUAGUUACUGUAAAAAAUACUGUGAAAUGUAAGUGGAAAAAAACAAACAACAAAAGAAAAAGAAAAGGAAAGGUGAUGGGACAUGCCAAGCUGGGACUAUUCACAGGGUAUGGGUGCUUGGUAAGGCGUGGCACUUGCCCGUUUCAGGCAAGUAUGGAUCUCUGCAGAUCGGCGUAAUAGGCAUGUUGAAAGGUUUCUCUUAUUGGUGGAAAGAGGUUCUUGCUGGGAACUGAAUUGAUCAAUCAGCAUUAACCAUACAGAUACGUCAUCUCCCUUAGACACGAAGAAGAUGGAGGUAAGAUGUAGUGUCAUAAAUGUGUAUGUAUAUUAACAGUAGCUAAGUAGUUAAAAAUAUAAAUAUAUACCUAGGUUGCAUUAUAUCUUACAUAUCUUAGUUAUUAAUUUA